RNAcentral lists this ribosomal RNA (319 nucleotides) under uncultured delta proteobacterium B2M1. RNAcentral describes it as "bacterial SSU rRNA". It matches the Rfam family "Bacterial small subunit ribosomal RNA", at positions 1084 to 1405 of the family's 1533-position model. Lineage: Bacteria; Deltaproteobacteria. The record is from RNAcentral.
GUCCCCAACUAGCGCAACCCUUAUCUUUAGUUGCCAUCAUUUAGUUGGGCACUCUAGAGAGACUGCCGGUGUCAAACCGGAGGAAGGUGGGGAUGACGUCAAGUCCUCAUGGCCUUUAUGAUCAGGGCUACACACGUACUACAAUGGUCGGUACAAAGGGCAGCGACAGGGCGACCUGUAGCGAAUCUCUUAAAGCCGUUCUCAGUCCGGAUUGGAGUCUGCAACUCGACUCCAUGAAGUUGGAAUCGCUAGUAAUCGUGGAUCAGCAUGCCACGGUGAAUACGUUCCCGGGCCUUGUACACGCCGCCCGUCACACCAC